AUUGAACGCUGGCGGCAUGCUUUACACAUGCAAGUCGAGCGGCAGCGCGGGGGCAACCCUGGCGGCGAGCGGCGAACGGGUGAGGAAUGCAUCGGAACGUGCCCGGGAGUGGGGGAUAACGCCGCGAAAGCGGCGCUAAUACCGCAUAUUCUCUGUGGAGGAAAGUGGGGGACCGCAAGGCCUCACGCUUUCGGAGCGGCCGGUGUCGGAUUAGCUUGUUGGUGGGGUAAAGGCUUACCAAGGCGACGAUCCGUAGCUGGUCUGAGAGGAUGAUCAGCCACACUGGGACUGAGACACGGCCCAGACUCCUACGGGAGGCAGCAGUGGGGAAUUUUGGACAAUGGGGGCAACCCUGAUCCAGCCAUGCCGCGUGCGGGAAG
RNAcentral lists this ribosomal RNA (380 nucleotides) under uncultured bacterium. Its description in RNAcentral is "bacterial SSU rRNA". It matches the Rfam family "Bacterial small subunit ribosomal RNA", at positions 28 to 410 of the family's 1533-position model. The record is from RNAcentral.